AGAGUUUGAUUAUGGCUCAGGAUGAACGCUAGCUACAGGCUUAACACAUGCAAGUCGAGGGGCAGCAUGGUCUUAGCUUGCUAAGGCCGAUGGCGACCGGCGCACGGGUGAGUAACACGUAUCCAACCUGCCGUCUACUCUUGGACAGCCUUCUGAAAGGAAGAUUAAUACAAGAUGGCAUCAUGAGUCCACAUGUUCACAUGAUUAAAGGUAUUCCGGUAGACGAUGGGGAUGCGUUCCAUUAGAUAGUAGGCGGGGUAACGGCCCACCUAGUCUUCGAUGGAUAGGGGUUCUGAGAGGAAGGUCCCCCACAUUGGAACUGAGACACGGUCCAA
RNAcentral lists this ribosomal RNA (335 nucleotides) under uncultured bacterium. RNAcentral's name for it is "bacterial SSU rRNA". It matches the Rfam family "Bacterial small subunit ribosomal RNA", at positions 8 to 334 of the family's 1533-position model. The record is from RNAcentral.